GAUGAAGAACGUAGCGAAAUGCGAUAAGUAGUGUGAAUUGCAGAAUUCAGUGAAUCAUCGAAUCUUUGAACGCACAUUGCGCCCCUUGGUAUCCCGAGGGGCAUGCCUGUUCGAGCGUCAUUUCACCACUCAAGCCUGGUUUGGUGUUGGGCGACGUCCCCUUUGGGGACGCGCCUCGAAACGCUCGGCGGCGUGGCACCGGCUUUAAGCGUAGCAGAAUCUUUCGCUUUGGAAGUCGGGGCCCCGUCUGCCGGAAGACCUACUCGCAAGGUUGACCUCGGAUCAGGCAGGGAUACCCGCUGAACUUAAGCAUAUCAAUAAGCGGAGGA
This 329-nucleotide unclassified non-coding RNA is filed under the name soil metagenome. Its description in RNAcentral is "partial contains 5.8S ribosomal RNA, internal transcribed spacer 2, and large subunit ribosomal RNA". The stretch from base 1 to 120 matches the Rfam family "5.8S ribosomal RNA", at positions 35 to 154 of the family's 154-position model. The record is from RNAcentral.